AUUGAACGCUGGCGGCAGGCCUAACACAUGCAAGUCGAGCGGAUGAAGGGAGCUUGCUCCUGGAUUCAGCGGCGGACGGGUGAGUAAUGCCUAGGAAUCUGCCUGGUAGUGGGGGAUAACGUCCGGAAACGGGCGCUAAUACCGCAUACGUCCUGAGGGAGAAAGUGGGGGUUCUUCGGACCUCACGCUAUCAGAUGAGCCUAGGUCGGAUUAGCUAGUUGGUGGGGUAAAGGCCUACCAAGGCGACGAUCCGUAACUGGUCUGAGAGGAUGAUCAGUCACACUGGAACAGAGACACGGUCCAGACUCCUACGGGAGGCAGCAGUGGGGAAUAUUGGACAAUGGGCGAAAGCCUGAUCCAGCCAUGCCGCGUGUGUGAAGAAGGUCUUCGGAUUGUAAAGCACUUUAAGUUGGGAGGAAGGGCAGUAAGUUGAUACCUUGCUGUUUUGACGUUACCAACAGAAUAAGCACCGGCUAACUUCGUG
This 484-nucleotide ribosomal RNA is filed under the name uncultured bacterium. RNAcentral describes it as "partial 16S ribosomal RNA". It matches the Rfam family "Bacterial small subunit ribosomal RNA", at positions 30 to 507 of the family's 1533-position model. The record is from RNAcentral.